Molecule: ribosomal RNA, 406 nt
Filed under: uncultured eukaryote
Lineage: Eukaryota
Description: SSU rRNA
Rfam family: Eukaryotic small subunit ribosomal RNA
Source: RNAcentral
AGCUCCAAUAGCGUAUAUUAAAGUUGUUGCGGUUAAAAGCUCGUAGUUGGAUUUCUGUCGGUGAGCAGCAGUCCGCCCUCAGUGGUUGGUACUUGUUGCGCCACCGGCAUCUUCCAGGGGAACGUAUCUGCUCUUCGUUGAGUGGUGCAUAAUCCUGGACUUUUACUUUGAGGAAAUAGGAGUGUUUCAAGCAGGCAUGCGCCGUGAACAUGUUAGCAUGGAAUAAUAGCAUCGGACCUCGUUCCAAAGCUGUUGGUUUCUUGGACCGAGGUAAAGGUGAAUAGGGAUUGUUGGGGGCAUUCGUAUUUAACUGUCAGAGGUGAAAUUCUUGGAUUUGUUGAAGACGGACUACUGCGAAAGCAUCUGCCAAAGAUGUUCUCAUUGAUCAAGAACGAAAGUUCGAACG